UACGUAGGGGGCUAGCGUUGUCCGGAAUCAUUGGGCGUAAAGAGCGUGUAGGCGGCCCGGUAAGUCCGCUGUAAAAGUCAAAGGCUCAACCUUUGAAUGUCAGUGGAUACUGCCGGGCUAGAGUCCGGAAGAGGCGAGUGGAACUCCUGGUGUAGCGGUGGAAUGCGCAGAUAUCAGGAGGAACACCGAUGGCGAAGGCAGGUCUCUGGGCCGAUACUGACGCUGAGGAGCGAAAGCGUGGGGAGCGAACAGG
This 253-nucleotide ribosomal RNA is filed under the name uncultured bacterium. RNAcentral's name for it is "partial 16S ribosomal RNA". It matches the Rfam family "Bacterial small subunit ribosomal RNA", at positions 524 to 776 of the family's 1533-position model. The record is from RNAcentral.